Molecule: transfer RNA, 77 nt
Filed under: Allofournierella massiliensis
Lineage: Bacteria; Bacillati; Bacillota; Clostridia; Eubacteriales; Oscillospiraceae
Also listed under: 1 other name
Description: Fournierella massiliensis tRNA-Ile
Rfam family: tRNA
About the family: Transfer RNA (tRNA) molecules are approximately 80 nucleotides in length. Their secondary structure includes four short double-helical elements and three loops (D, anti-codon, and T loops). Further hydrogen bonds mediate the characteristic L-shaped molecular structure. tRNAs have two regions of fundamental functional importance: the anti-codon, which is responsible for specific mRNA codon recognition, and the 3' end, to which the tRNAs corresponding amino acid is attached (by aminoacyl-tRNA synthetases). tRNAs cope with the degeneracy of the genetic code in two manners: having more than one tRNA (with a specific anti-codon) for a particular amino acid; and 'wobble' base-pairing, i.e. permitting non-standard base-pairing at the 3rd anti-codon position.
Source: RNAcentral
GGGCUCAUAGCUCAGAUGGUUAGAGCGCGCGCCUGAUAAGCGCGAGGUCGAUGGUUCGAUUCCAUUUGAGCCCACCA